Molecule: antisense RNA, 69 nt
Filed under: Saccharothrix sp. ALI-22-I
Lineage: Bacteria; Bacillati; Actinomycetota; Actinomycetes; Pseudonocardiales; Pseudonocardiaceae
Description: ASpks TB sRNA
Rfam family: ASpks TB sRNA
Source: Rfam by way of RNAcentral
CUUCAACGACCCCAGAUACAGCGGGACCUCACGGUCUUGGCCGUAGGUCGCCAACAACGCCUGCGCCUC